CUUGCUGCAUGCUUUAUACAUGCAAGUCGAACGAAGGCCCUAGCUUGCUAGGUGUCCUUAGUGGCGCACGGGUGAGUAACACGUGGGAACAUACCUUAUAGUACGGAAUAACUGCGGGAAACUGUAGCUAAUACCGUAUAUUCCAGUAAUGGGAAAGAUUUAUCGCUAUAAGAUUGGCCCGCGCAAGAUUAGCUUGUUGGUGAGGUAAAAGCUCACCAAGGCUUCGAUCUUUAGCUGGUUUGAGAGGAUGAUCAGCCACACUGGGACUGAGACACGGCCCAGACUCCUACGGGAGGCAGCAGUAGGGAAUAUUGGACAAUGGGGGCAACCCUGAUCCAGCAAUGCAGCGUGAGUGACGAAGGCCUUAGGGUUGUAAAACUCUUUCAUCGGUGAGGAUAAUGACAGUAGCCGAAGAAGAAGGACCGGCUAAUUCCGUGCCAGCAGCCGCGGUAAUACGGAAGGUCCUAGCGUUGUUCGGAAUUACUGGGCGUAAAGCGCAUGUAGGCGGAACAGAAAGUUAGAAGUGAAAUCCCUGGGCUCAACCUAGGAAUUGCUUUUAAAACUUCUGUUCUGGAAUUCAGGAGAGGAAAAUGGAAUUUCCAGUGUAGAGGUGAAAUUCGUAGAUAUUGGAAGGAACACCAGUGGCGAAGGCGAUUUUCUGGACUGAUAUUGACGCUGAGAUGCGAAGGCAUGGGUAGCAAACGGGAUUAGAUACCCCGGUAGUCCAUGCAGUAAACGAUGGGUGCUAGUCGUCGGACUUUUGUUCGGUGUCGUAGCUAACGCGU
This 785-nucleotide ribosomal RNA is filed under the name uncultured Alphaproteobacteria bacterium. Its description in RNAcentral is "bacterial SSU rRNA". It matches the Rfam family "Bacterial small subunit ribosomal RNA", at positions 36 to 860 of the family's 1533-position model. Lineage: Bacteria; Pseudomonadati; Pseudomonadota; Alphaproteobacteria. The record is from RNAcentral.